This is a small nuclear RNA of Otolemur garnettii (small-eared galago), 140 nucleotides long. Its record names the gene U4. It matches the Rfam family "U4 spliceosomal RNA". Rfam says of the family: U4 small nuclear RNA (U4 snRNA) is a component of the major U2-dependent spliceosome. The structure of U4 snRNA from yeast and human has been reported. NCBI's taxonomy places the organism in Eukaryota, Metazoa, Chordata, Mammalia, Primates, Galagidae. The record is from Ensembl.
UACUCUCCACGGUAGCAGUAUCAUAGCCAAGGAGGUUUAUCUGAGACAUGAUUAUUGCUAAUUUAAAACUGUUCCCAAUACCCCACCAUGACAAUUGCAAUAUAGUCAGCAUUGGCAAUUUUUUACAGUCUUUAUAAACA